UUGACAACCCUGGAGACUGGAGCCCUCCCUCUGUCCCUAGAGCAAGUACAGCACAUGCAGCAUCAGUGGAAGCUUUCAUGCCUCCUGGCAAAGUGCCUCAACCCUGAGCAAGAAGGACCCAACUCUGGGGGUUGAGAGGGAAGUUCAUUCCCCAUGUCCUUUAAGUUCUUGGCCUCU
Chrysemys picta bellii (western painted turtle) is the source of this 177-nucleotide unclassified non-coding RNA. The record is from Ensembl. Lineage: Eukaryota; Metazoa; Chordata; Testudines; Emydidae.